Molecule: ribosomal RNA, 301 nt
Filed under: uncultured bacterium
Lineage: Bacteria
Description: partial 16S ribosomal RNA
Rfam family: Bacterial small subunit ribosomal RNA
Source: RNAcentral
CAGCAGCCGCGGUAAUACGUAGGUGGCAAGCGUUGUCCGGAAUUAUUGGGCGUAAAGGGCUCGCAGGCGGUUUCUUAAGUCUGAUGUGAAAGCCCCCGGCUCAACCGGGGAGGGUCAUUGGAAACUGGGAAACUUGAGUGCAGAAGAGGAGAGUGGAAUUCCACGUGUAGCGGUGAAAUGCGUAGAGAUGUGGAGGAACACCAGUGGCGAAGGCGACUCUCUGGUCUGUAACUGACGCUGAGGAGCGAAAGCGUGGGGAGCGAACAGGAUUAGAGACCCGUGUAGUCCCUGUCUCUUAUAA